Molecule: unclassified non-coding RNA, 376 nt
Filed under: soil metagenome
Description: partial contains 5.8S ribosomal RNA, internal transcribed spacer 2, and large subunit ribosomal RNA
Rfam family: 5.8S ribosomal RNA (bases 1-120)
Source: RNAcentral
GAUGAAGAACGUAGCGAAAUGCGAUAAGUAAUGUGAAUUGCAGAAUUCAGUGAAUCAUCGAAUCUUUGAACGCAUCAUGCGCUCCUUGGUAUUCUGAGGAGCAUGCCUGUUUGAGUGUCAUUAAAUUCUCAACUACACUGACUUUGAAUUGGUGUGGCUUGGAUUUGGGGGGAAAAUUGUUGUGGGCUUUUUGUAUAGUCUGCUCCCCUGAAAUUGAUUAGCGGUACCUUUGUGGAACUGUCUACAGGUGUGAUAAUUAUCUACAUCUUAGACAUCUGCUGGAAUGCUGCUUUCUAAACCUUACUUGUAUUGACAAUCUUGACCUCAAAUCAGGUAGGACUACCCGCUGAACUUAAGCAUAUCAAUAAGCGGAGGA